RNAcentral lists this ribosomal RNA (258 nucleotides) under Triticum aestivum (bread wheat). RNAcentral describes it as "partial small subunit ribosomal RNA". The record is from RNAcentral. Lineage: Eukaryota; Viridiplantae; Streptophyta; Magnoliopsida; Poales; Poaceae.
AUGUUCAAAUCCCCAUCGACUCAUAUAUGGAUGACAAAGCACAAUGUUGUCGUUAGCAUGAGUUUUAUGGCUCUUGCCGGGGAUCCAUGUGGCCAGUCACAUGGCUUGAUCGAGCGGCCUCCCAUAGAACUUGCACUGCCUCCGCCUAGAUUCCUUGGUGAUAUAUCAUAUAUCUACUUCCGAUCCCCUUUUCUUCACAAAUCCAUGACUCCGAUGUAUUUCCAUGGGUUGCUACAAAAUGCAUGUAUCUCGGUAUGA